GAGUUGUGGCUCAGUGGUAGAGUGCUCGCCUAGCAUGCAUGCAUGAGGCACUGGGUUCGAUCCUCAGCCUCA
This 72-nucleotide transfer RNA is filed under the name Marmota monax (woodchuck). RNAcentral describes it as "tRNA.Ala". The record is from RNAcentral. Lineage: Eukaryota; Metazoa; Chordata; Mammalia; Rodentia; Sciuridae.